Molecule: long non-coding RNA, 283 nt
Organism: Branchiostoma floridae (Florida lancelet)
Lineage: Eukaryota; Metazoa; Chordata; Leptocardii; Amphioxiformes; Branchiostomatidae
Exons: 3
Source: RefSeq, a predicted model, not a curated record
GUCAGCACACAAGCAGCAAGAACAAGCCGUGGGUGGCCGGAAGGACCACUUCUCUCCCUUCUCAGCUGCGCCCUCUAGCGACAUUAUCAAUGACGGAAUGCACCGACAAUACAAUGGCCCGAAACCGCAGAAUGCUGAAAACGCCGCACGAGCUGACGAUGAAAACUCCUACCACAGCUACAUCCAGACGGCAGACCGGGACUUGGGAAAUGGGGACCUGGACGCAGCAGAGAAGAACCUAGCAGCCGCCCUGAAGCUGGUUCACGGUCUGUCAUGCACUGUC